GGGGGAAUUGGGAUUUCUGGGAGCAGAUGGGAUUGUCAGAAUUUCUUCAGUAACAGGCAUUUCUGCUGUUUAUUGUUCAUAAAUCCUUUCAGAGCAAGCUAUAUUGGUCAGGAUUCCUUUUGGAGCAAGCAGGUUUGGUCAGAAAUCCUUUGGGAGGAGAUAAGAGUGGUCAGGAUUUCUAUGGGAGUGGGUUGGAUUGUUAAGAAUUUCUUUUGGACCAGAUGGGAUUGGUUAGAAUUCCUUUUGAAGAAGCAGCAUUGGUCAGAAUUCCUUUUGGACCAGAUGGAAUUGGACCGAAUUCCUUUGGGAGUAGAUGGGAUUGCUCAGAACUCCUUUUGGAGCAAGUGGGAUUGGUCAGAAUUCCUUUGGAGCAGGUGGGAUUGGUCGGAAUUACUUUCGAGCAGGUGGGAUUGGUCAAAAAUCCUUUUGAGUAGUUGGGAUUGGCCAGCAUUCCUUUUGGGGCAGAUGGGAUUGGUCAGACCUCCUUUUGAGCAGAUGGGAUUGAUCACAACUCCUUUGGAGCAGGUGGGAUUGGUCAGAACUCCUUUGGAGCAGGUGGGAUUGAUCAGAACUCCUUUUGGAGCAGACGGGAUUGGUCAGAACUCCUUUGGAGCAGGUGGGAUUGGUC
This is a long non-coding RNA of Ictalurus punctatus (channel catfish), 628 nucleotides long. Lineage: Eukaryota; Metazoa; Chordata; Actinopteri; Siluriformes; Ictaluridae. The record is from Ensembl.